This 371-nucleotide long non-coding RNA is filed under the name Homo sapiens (human). RNAcentral's name for it is "HSALNT0256504". Lineage: Eukaryota; Metazoa; Chordata; Mammalia; Primates; Hominidae. The record is from RNAcentral.
UAGAAGUCAGUGCCCGUCCUGGUCACUCCUAUCCAGGCCAUCUGGACUCACCCAUGCCUCGGAGCUCCACAGCAGGGCGGCAGAGCUGGAGGGCUUCACGGACCAGGCCAACCUCAGGGGAGUCCAGGUCCCUGAGAAGAAGUCGGCCAGGACGCCAUGCCUCUUGGCUCUCUCGGAUCCUGACAGGUAGCGCUCACGGACCACCUCGACCAGCUGUCUACAGAGAGGGUAUACAGACUGAUAGACCUGGGUGACCCAUCAAGCUCAAAGGUGGCUGCUUGUCUUCCUGGAGGCAGUUCCCAAAUCCCAAGCCAUCCUAAACCACUCUGUUGACCACCUGUGCUAUUUGAUACAUCACAUCUAUCUCUAAA